RNAcentral lists this ribosomal RNA (287 nucleotides) under uncultured bacterium. Its description in RNAcentral is "partial 16S ribosomal RNA". It matches the Rfam family "Bacterial small subunit ribosomal RNA", at positions 55 to 339 of the family's 1533-position model. The record is from RNAcentral.
AUGCAAGUCGAGGGGCAGCGCGGGAUAGCAAUAUCCUGGCGGCGACCGGCGGAAGGGUGCGUAACGCGUGAGCGACAUGCCCUUCACAGGGGGAUAACCGGGAGAAAUUCCGACUAAUACCGCAUACGUCCUCCGGGGGCAUCCCCGGGGGAUGAAAGAAUUAUCGGUGAAGGAUGGGUAUGCGUGAUAUUAGGUAGUUGGCGGGGCAACGGCCCACCAAGCCCACGAUAUCUAGGGGUUCUGAGAGGAAGGUCCCCACAUUGGUACUGAGACACGGACCAAACUCC